UGCGAUUUGGGAAGUUGCCAUCCUCUGUGGUUGGUACUGGCCCAAUUGGCUGCUACAGAAACACCUGUAGUUCAUGGGCCUCCGGUCUCCCUGGCUGAGCUCUGGGGAUGAAAGCAUUCUGCAGACACUU
Molecule: small nucleolar RNA, 130 nt
Organism: Rhea pennata
Lineage: Eukaryota; Metazoa; Chordata; Aves; Rheiformes; Rheidae
Product: small nucleolar RNA SNORA5
Exons: 1
Source: RefSeq, a predicted model, not a curated record